RNAcentral lists this long non-coding RNA (4057 nucleotides) under Venturia canescens. Its description in RNAcentral is "uncharacterized LOC122417291". Lineage: Eukaryota; Metazoa; Arthropoda; Insecta; Hymenoptera; Ichneumonidae. The record is from RNAcentral.
ACUUCGCCACGAUCGUCCAUCGUGAUCGAGUGAUCGGUCUGCGGAGUGUCGUACAGCUGCGAAGUUCUUUCCUCGUGGAUGGUCGAGAGCGACAAAUUUCGUGCCAGCUCGUGAAGGGGCGUGGGUGGCUCUUUGGCUUCUUCCUUGCGCACGGAGACGCGAUCCUCGAAGCCCAGGAGCGAAGCGGAGCUGGAGACCGAACCCAUGCAAUUGGUUGCUUCGCAAGUGCAAACCUUGGCAAGAAAGCACCAGCGUAUCUCCGAUCCGGCAGGAUUCAUCGCGCAAAAUUUUCUCGAAGACCGGAAGUGGUCCUGAAGGUGUGAGGGCAUCGGCUGGCUUGAGGGAUCCUUCUCUGCUGCCCUUCCCCACGACAUGGACCUUGGACGAAGAGCACGCCGUUCCCAUGCAAUUAACAGCUUCGCAGGUGUAAGUUCCCAACGAAGUUGGAUCGUCGGCGUUGGCUGUCAAGGCGAAAACAUCCCCGGCCUUGAUCUCUUUCUGAUCCUUGAACCAUUUCAACACCGGAGUUGGGACACCGACGACUUUGCAUUCGAGGGAGACGGUCCCGGUUUCCGUUAGCAAAGCCUUCAACUCCUCGACGAAUUCGGGCUUCUUGUAGGCCUUUGGAACUGUGUGAUCAUUCGCAAAAUCAAGAACCACCGAUGGAUUUGAGUCAACCAUUUAAAAAACUUGGGACUUUAGGAAAAAACGAUCAUCCCACCGAUAACGCUGAGGAAAGACGUGCACGAAGAUCUCCCACUCCCAUUCUCAGCCAUGCAGGUCCAGUGACCUUGGUCAUCGACCAUAACAGGCGCAACAUCGACGCAGUAGAAAUUACCCUCGUGAACGAAAGACAGUCUCGGCCCGGAUUGCACGAGCUCGUCAUUUUUGUGCCAAGUCACCUAAAAUUUGGAGAAAAGAAAAUGAUAAUUAUGGAGAAACAAGUUGGGCGGUUGAAAUGCCUGGAAAUUGUUAUACGGUCAAAACGACGUAUUCGCCUAGCACUACGCGCGGAUUGUCACGUGACGAAAUAGAAAGAGAAUCAAACGCGGAAGCCCGAGUUCAUGGACCUGUGUAAAAGCAGCGAAUGAACUCAUUCGUCGCUCUCCCAGUGUCUCUCUCGUCGUCCAGACGUCUGGCACGUCUCAAUAUGUGACUCGUGGAACUUCGGAUUUCAACGAGAAAUCGUGUCCUCGUACCAACUUUAACGGCGAGAUCGCUCAGUCGGCGUAAAAAUAUCGGUGGUUCACCCUCCUCGAUGAGGCUCUUCGGAUCCUGAAUACUCAGGCAAAUUCUGUGUUUCGAUUCCAAGCUCCCAUCGCUCGUUUCAGUUUAUUAUUCCACUGGCAUUCACUUCUGCAUUACAACUCCAGGGAAGUCCAGCCACGCACAGUAGUGAGUACGCAUAUGGAAAACUAAAAAAAUGGUUUCUUCAACGAAAUAUGUUGCUACGACGAGCAGGAAAUCUGGACGAGUACUGUUGCAUCGAGCCGGGCUUUUCGAACACGAGGUUUCGAUGGUCAAAGCACACAUAAUAAAACACACGGACACGGUGAAAAAGGAAAAGAAAGAGGGAGAGAGAGAAUAGACGUAUAUAGAGGAGUUCUUCGCUCGCCCUCGUCGCCGAUAUAUUUCGAGACAGCUCCGAAGCUAGAUCUGCGCGCGUCCACCGGCACCCAAUCGUGUAUCCCUAGGGCCGGGGAUGCAGGCCAAAAAAUUGCUCGUGCAUAGAUACAGGCAUACGUGCACAGAUAUUGGGGUCAAGAGACGAUUGUGCAAUGAGCAAAAAUUUCAUCACUGGGCUUCGGAGGCACGGGCCGGUUUCGACGAUCCUCCCAUCGAACGACGUACGUCGCGCUUUUUUUACGCACCUCUCAAAGACCGAAAUUUCCACGAUCGGGGGAUAGCGGAGGAUCACAUCGGUGCGAUCACGCGUGAAUUUGUUCGUCGUUGGAAAAGAGAGCCGCGAACGUUAAGCGCGUCCGCAAAGCUCUAAAAUGAGAACGAGAACAUCGAAGGUGUCAAGGCAGCUGACGUCGACGAGAAGCGUCCCUCUCCGCGUAGAUAGAACGAGAGAAAAGCGAGAGAGAGAGAAAGAUGGAUAGGUGAACAGGAGAGAGAACGAGCGAGCGAUUCGGCGUCGUGAUGAAUUCGUUUGUGACGCGAGCCAAACUCGCGAUUAUAUAUCAGAGGAGAGAGUCGUCUCUCCGAAAAGAUAUUCAUUGAUCGUUUGGGCCAUCUGUCGUAGCUCGUCGGUGAUUCGGGUGCUCGCAGCGUCCAGCAGUUCGAAGAGCUGCCUGGUCGGAACGAACUCAUCGGAAGAGACAAACUACCAUCCGCAAAGCCGUGCGCCGCAACUCGAGGUCAAACGAAUAAAAACUGUCAAGUACUAACAGAAUGAACUGCACUUCCUUGUGGCACUCGUCGGGAUCCAAUUCCAGUUCGACCACGAGGUCCUCGCCCACGGAACCGCUCGCUGUCACAUCAGCGUCCUCGUCCUUCCAUUUUUGCUCCCUGCCUCCGGGCUCACCGGCACCUGAGCAAAAGUUUUAUGAUUACCGUCCUCAAUGAAAAUUUAUCAUUUCCGAUGAAAAAGAAACGCCCGAAGAGCAAAAGCCAAGGAGAUUCGAAGGUGUACAUUCGACCUCGAGAGAUUCGGACGAAAAUGAUCAAUGCUCCGGACAAGAUGGAGACGAAGCGUUAUUUUGACGUCUCGACGAGGGUUGACAUGUGUCGUUUCAAGGGACACCUAGUACAAGCUCGAUAAAAGUCGCAUUACGAGAAUCUCUCGUGCUUGCUCCUUCCUCGCCAGCUUAAUCUCGUCUCGCUCGUCGUUGUCGUCAAGUUCGACUUGCCGGCACGACUAAAAAUAUCUUCCAAAUGAGCCAGGGAGUGUGUGCGCGUGUUUUCUCAUGUUCACGCUCGCUCUUUCUCUCUCUCUCAUAUUCUCACAUGGCCAAAGAUUCUUGUAGGCACCGGUAACUCACGGAUUUAAUGCAAACACGCGAUUCCCUCGCAUAUCAACUUGAUAUACACCCGAGAAAUCAUACUCUGGCUCGGUCUCGCGCGCACUUGCAUCCGAAUGCAUCAUUCGCCUCGUUACGAGGGUAGCGUUAUUAACAGUCGUUUGCGCGUUGGAGAACACGCACUAAAAUGCGCAGAGAAAAACACGGGGAUCUCGGGAGAGAGCGAGAGGAGAGAGAAUCUCGGCAACCCGCGCUCCGAGCAUUUGGCACUGUUUCAUCAAAGCUCCGAGUCUCGUGCGAUAUUAUAAUUCCAAUACCGAAAUUGGCAGAGAACGAGAAUAUCCACGAGCCUCUUUCUCCGCAGGAGGAAUGGGCACGACCAAAUUUUCCUACUGCCCAGGAUCUUUUCAUUUGACAAUUGCCGACUUUGAUUGAUCAAUGAGGGCUGAAGGUCCACAGUUUCUAGUACGCCAAGCGAGUCGAAUGUGUGCUCGCAAUGAAACGCGAUUUCGAGCGAUGCCACAAAAUUGGCAAAGAGCACGUUUCCCCGAGGAUACAUUGGUUCGGUGUGAAAUUUUCGAAGAGUCAGAACAAAUGGCACGCAGCGAGAAGUUCUUUCAUGAAAAAAUCAUCUAAUUGAAGAUAAACGAGGAAAAAUAUUGGAUCUGAGCAAAUGAGAAUGAAACAAAUUGAAGAGAAGAAACAAAAGGAGGACAAAAUGGUGACGAUCUUUCCAGCGAAGCUACCUACGCACUCUUCUAAGUGAAGAUUCAAUAACAAAAAAUCGUUCUAGAACGCAGACUCUCUGGGUUAAUGUACCUGCUAGAGUCAUCCCGUAUCAGAUGUCGGUGCUGCUGGUGAUAACACGAUGACGACGAUAAUACGAGGAGGAAGGAAUCGGAACCGCUCUCAAACACCACGAUAAAUUGCACGGCACACGCAGACACACACGCACGCGCACUCACUCACACAGAAUCGUGACAGCAGCGCAACGAGGUCGAUACAGAAGCGUGGAGACUCCGCGACUCUCCGAGGUCUUUGGCUCUCGCGUGAUAAAACUCUUUGGUCGGGAUGAUUACGAUGAAGCGAGG